UACAGAGGUCUCAAGCGUUGUUCGGAUUCAUUGGGCGUAAAGGGUGCGUAGGCGGCGCGGUAAGUCGGGUGUGAAAUCUCGGAGCUUAACUCCGAAACUGCAUUCGAUACUGCCGUGCUUGAGGACUGGAGAGGAGACUGGGAUUUACGGUGUAGCGGUGAAAUGCGUAGAUAUCGUAAGGAAGACCAGUGGCGAAGGCGGGUCUCUGGACAGUUCCUGACGCUGAGGCACGAAGGUCAGGGGAGCAAACGGG
This 253-nucleotide ribosomal RNA is filed under the name uncultured bacterium. RNAcentral describes it as "partial 16S ribosomal RNA". It matches the Rfam family "Bacterial small subunit ribosomal RNA", at positions 524 to 776 of the family's 1533-position model. The record is from RNAcentral.